UAAUACAGAGGGUGCGAGCGUUGUCCGGAAUCACUGGGCGUAGAGGGCGCGUAGGCGGCCUGGUAAGUAGGGGGUGAAAUCCCGUGGCUCAACUGCGGGACGGCCUCCUAGACUGCCUGGCUCGAGCACGGUAGAGGCAGGUGGAAUUCCCGGUGUAGCGGUGGAAUGCGUAGAGAUCGGGAAGAACAUCGGUGGCGAAGGCGGCCUGCUGGGCCGUUGCUGACGCUGAGGCGCGACAGCGUGGGGAGCAAACAG
Molecule: ribosomal RNA, 255 nt
Filed under: uncultured prokaryote
Description: partial 16S ribosomal RNA
Rfam family: Bacterial small subunit ribosomal RNA
Source: RNAcentral